ACGGGAGGCAGCAGUAAGGGAUAUUGCACAAUGGGGGAAACCCUGAUGCAGCAACGCCGCGUGAGGGAAGAAGGUUUUCGGAUUGUAAACCUCUGUUUUUAGUGAAGAAACAAAUGACGGUAGCUAAAGAGGAAGCCACGGCUAACUACGUGCCAGCAGCCGCGGUAAUACGUAGGUGGCAAGCGUUGUCCGGAUUUACUGGGUGUAAAGGGUGCGCAGGCGGGACUGCAAGUUGGAUGUGAAAUACCGGAGCUCAACUCCGGAGCUGCAUCCAAAACUGUAGUUCUUGAGUGAAGUAGAGGUAGGCGGAAUUCCGAGUGUAGCGGUAAAAUGCGUAGAUAUUCGGAGGAACACCAGUGGCGAAGGCGGCCUACUGGGCUUUAACUGACGCUGAGGCACGAAAGCAUGGGGAGCAAACAGGAUUAGAUACCCUGGUA
RNAcentral lists this ribosomal RNA (437 nucleotides) under uncultured Clostridium sp. RNAcentral describes it as "partial 16S ribosomal RNA". It matches the Rfam family "Bacterial small subunit ribosomal RNA", at positions 341 to 792 of the family's 1533-position model. The record is from RNAcentral. Lineage: Bacteria; Bacillati; Bacillota; Clostridia; Eubacteriales; Clostridiaceae.